UCCGUAGGUGAACCUGCGGAAGGAUCAUUAAAGUAUCUAAGGUGUUCAGUCCGCGCGCCCUGCUCCGACCGAAAGGUCGUGCAGCGGGCCGAGGCAGACGCCUAACCUUCACAAACCCCACUGUGCACCUUCACGGCGGAGGCCUUCGGGCGAGAGCCUGUCGGCCGAAGCCGUCCCUACAAACACUAGUAUUAAGAACGUCAAAGCGACCCCGUCGCCCAUUAAACAUAACAACUUUCAACAACGGAUCUCUUGGCUCUCGCAUCGAUGAAGAACGCAGCGAAAUGCGAUAAGUAAUGUGAAUUGCAGAAUUCAGUGAAUCAUCGAAUCUUUGAACGCACCUUGCGCUCCUUGGUAUUCCUUGGAGCAUGCCUGUUUGAGUAUCAUGAAAUCUUCAAAAUCAAACUUUUUGUUAACUCAAUUAGUCUGAUUUUGGUAUUGGAGGUCUUUGCAGCUUCACACCUGCUCCUCUUUGUGUAUUAGCUGGAUCUCAGUGUUAUGCUUGGUUCCACUCAGCGUGAUAAAUUAUCUAUCGGCUGGAGGGGGACACUGGUAAAAAGGUGGGCCAAGGGUAAAUGGCAGGAUGGAACCGGCUUCUAAUAGGUCCAUUGGGACUUGGGGGGACACUAUUUUUAUGAUCUGAUCUCAAAUCAGGUAGGACUAUCCCGCUGAACUUAA
RNAcentral lists this ribosomal RNA (678 nucleotides) under uncultured fungus. RNAcentral's name for it is "eukaryotic LSU rRNA". The stretch from base 233 to 386 matches the Rfam family "5.8S ribosomal RNA". Lineage: Eukaryota; Fungi. The record is from RNAcentral.